AUUGAACGCUGGCGGAGUGCUUUACACAUGCAAGUCGAACGGCAGCACGGGGCAACCUGGUGGCGAGUGGCGAACGGGUGAGUAAUACAUCGGAACGUGCCCAAUCGUGGGGGAUAACGUAGCGAAAGUUACGCUAAUACCGCAUACGAUCUACGGAUGAAAGCGGGGGAUCGCAAGACCUCGCGCGAAUGGAGCGGCCGAUGUCAGAUUAGGUAGUUGGUGGGGUAAAGGCUCACCAAGCCAACGAUCUGUAGCUGGUCUGAGAGGACGACCAGCCACACUGGAACUGAGACACGGUCCAGACUCCUACGGGAGGCAGCAGUGGGGAAUUUUGGACAAUGGGCGCAAGCCUGAUCCAGCCAUUCCGCGUGCAGGAUGAAGGCC
RNAcentral lists this ribosomal RNA (384 nucleotides) under uncultured bacterium. RNAcentral's name for it is "bacterial SSU rRNA". It matches the Rfam family "Bacterial small subunit ribosomal RNA", at positions 30 to 416 of the family's 1533-position model. The record is from RNAcentral.